CCCCGUAGCUCAGUUGGUAGAGCAUGGUGUUUGCAACACCAGGGUUGUGGGUUCGAUUCCCACGGGGG
Molecule: non-coding RNA, 68 nt
Organism: Salmo salar (Atlantic salmon)
Lineage: Eukaryota; Metazoa; Chordata; Actinopteri; Salmoniformes; Salmonidae
Source: Rfam